AAUAAAGUCAAUUUGGUAGACCCAGUCCUCCCUUUGUUCGGGGCAAUAAAGUGUACACUUGUUGAUAUGGGAUUCAAAUAUAUACAAAUCUGUUUUCAGAAUAGAGAUAGGGCAGGUAGAGCAGCUUUGGCAGUAAUGUCAUUUUAACAGAGUUUAUGCAGCCUAUCCAAGAGAUUUUGUGUGUACUCCACCCCUCCAGAAGAGACACCAAGGAUUUGAACAUUGCCGGAUAGUUAAAUUUAUACAGGGAGUCAUAUGAUUUGGAUAACUUUACCCCUAGUAUAGAGAUGUAGUGGGACUGCCAGUGAAAAUCAAAAUUAAGUUUUAGAAGUUUCACUGCAUGCUCUGGUAAAUUGAUGUAUUUAUUUGAGGGAAUACAGGGUUAUGGGAGAUAGCUCUUAGUACUAGUUGAUCCAGGGACUGGUCCGAUUGCCAUCUUGGAGUCAGGAAGGAAGGUGCUAUUGCUAGGGCCUCGAUAGCUAGGUCGAACAAUAUUGGUGAAAGGGGGCAACCCUGUCUUUUUCCACGGCUUAUAGGGAAGGUGGAGGAGGAGAAACCUAAUAUGUUCACUAGAGCUGUGGGGGCUCUGUAUAGCACUUUAAUCCACGAGGCAAAGUUAGUCCCAAAGCCCUAUUGGUUUAGUAUAGAAUAUAGGUAGUCCCAUGAUAGGGAAUCAAAGGCUUUCCUAAUAUACAGUUUAAGGAGCAUAGAUUGUAUGUGAGAUUGAUUAGCGUAGUAGGUUAGCAAAGCGAUGAGUCUAAUUGCAUCAGAUGCUUGUCUCCCAGGUAUAAACCCCACUUGAUCUUUAUGAAUCAAGAAGGGGAGGAAAGUGUUAAUUCUAUAUGCUAUUAUUUUCCCAAGUAGUUUAAUGUCUGUGUUCAGGACUGAGAUGGGUCUGUAGUUCUUAACGUCUAAUAUAUCUGAGUUGGGUUUGGGUAUAGCUGAGAUUUUUGCUUGGAGGGACUCCUGUCGUAAAGUACCUCCAGCCUUGAGGCUAUUUAACAUUGCUGUGAAAUGUGGGGUAAGCUCCUUCAUGAAUUUUUUGAAGUAGAUGUUGGGCAAACCAUCUAUACCGGGAGCGGUACCUGUUUUUAGAUUCCUAAUGACAUUAGUAACUUCUUCAGCGGAAAUCUCCUGUUCUGUUAAGUCAAUUUGAUCUUGGGAAAGUUUAGGGAGGUUAAGGUCACAGAACAACUUAUCAUAUGUGUUGCGAGAUAUAGGGACUGGGUUAGUGUAUAGUUUUUGGUAGAAUGAAGCAAACUUGUUGGCAAUCUUUAUGGGAUUUCUUGUUUGGAAGCCUUGAGCUGUGCGUAUGCGAUGAAUGGAGGGGAAGGGAUCCCGAUUGUUCAAUUUACGUGCUAAUGACCUACCCUGCUUAUCUAAUGAGUAAAAUAAUUUAUGCUUAGCCCAUCUAAGUUUCUUUUCCGCUGCUGUGGUUAGCAGUAAAUCUAGUUCCUUCUGGAGUUGAGAUAUUUGGGGUUGGUAGUCAGAGAGGGUCUUCUAUCUGUUUAAAGGCCAUUUGGUCUAGGGAAUGAGUGAGAAGUUGGAUCGCCUUCUCUCUCGCACUCUUCCGCUGCAAACCUAUCUGGAUAAAUUGUCCCCUAAUCACUGGUUUGGGUGCCUCCCAUAAUGUGGAAGCCAUGGGGCCAGACUGGGAAUUCUCGGUGAAAUAUUGUGACAAGCCUUUUUUAAUGUUCUCGAUUACUUCAGGAAAGCUUAACAAUGACUCAUUUAGUCUCCAAAAUCUAACUCUUAGGCGUUCGUGAAGUUGGGAUAAUGAAGUUAGGAUGGGGCAAUGAUCUGACCAACUAAUGUUUAACAUUCUGGAGGGGUGGAGCAGCGGUAUGAGAGAAGGAGAAAGGAACAUAUGGUAGAUUCUUGAGGAAACUUUAUGAGGGGCAGAGUGGUGAGAGAAUUGUUUAACGUCUGGGUUUUUUUCCUCCAUGCAUCUACAAAAGAAUAGGAUUUAAGAAGCUCUCUAAAGCACUGGGAUGUCUUGAGGGCACUAAGGGGAGUCUGUUUUCCUGAGAGUGAUAUACAGUCUAGUCUAUCGUUCCAAACUGAAUUGGAGUCACUGCAGAUUAUCAGUGGGCCCAGUUGGUUGCUAUGGCAUGAGUCAAAUAAUUUAGUUAGAAACUCUAUCUGGUCGAUAUUAGGGGCGUAGUAGGUUACUAUAGUUAAAGGGGAGUCCCCUAUGUGAACGUUAGCAAUUAUAUAACGGCCUUCAGGAUCAAUAUGUUUGUUUUAUCAAUUGUUAUUGCUAUACUAGAGUGAAAAAAUAUACCGACCCCUUAAGUUUUGGUGGAACUUGUUGACAAUAUUGAUCUCGAAAAUCUCCUAUGGAAAUACUUAGGAAAGGAAGUAUGAGUUUCCUGUAAGCAUAUGACAUCAGCUUGUAGUGAGUUAAAGAAGGUAAAGGCUUUAGUUCUUUUAACUGGAGAGUUUAAGCCUUGGACGUUUAAGCUUAAGAUUUUAAAAGCCAUGGGUGUAAGAUGGCGUCAAUGCUUCUAGAAACUGCCCACAGCCGACCCUGUAUACAUAUAUACAAAUGUAAAAACCUAGAAAGACCUGUCCAAAUAGAACCAUAUAAACAUUAGUAAACAAAUGUACAAUAAUCACAAAAAAUGCAAUUGUAAGAUCCCGGUAAAUUUCUCUGAAGCCCCUAUCAAGGGAGGCUUCGGAAUAACCGGAUAGGGGGAGACACAUGUUCUGGCUAGCACUUUUGAAAUUGACCACAAUAUCCCCAAUAUUAGCUUGGAGUAGGGAAGAAAGAAAAAAAAAAAGGAGGGGGGGGAAGGGGGGUAGAAGGUGGCAAAUGGUGAAUGUCAAAUAGGCCCCCUGGUGGUGUCGGUGGCUCAGUAUCAGUGUUCCAGGGUUGGUUAAGCAAAAAAGCUCCAAAAGUGUCACAGAUAGAGAAACCAAGGGGGGGCAGCUCAAACGAGGCACACGAACACAGUGAUACAUAUAUAAAAAAAAAAGAAAGAGGGAAAAGGAAAAAAGAAUUGUUAACUGGUUGUGUAGGUAGAUAGAAACCCACAAUGAGACUGCAGCUGUAUGCGCUCCAACUCAGAGCAGGGCUUUGUUAUCUCACCUGGCCAGGUACACCUAUAGCCGGCAGGUUCUUAUGUCCAUUGGACUGCUGUGCAGCAGGAGAUGUGCGGCAUCAUCAGCGGAGUUUCUCUGCGUCUAUAAUAUCCUAGACGCUAUUGCACAGACGACUGGUUCUCCGUGGAUCACAGCUCCAUCUUCGGCUUUGCGGAGUUGCCGGCGGUGCGGUUAUCACAAGCGGAGGAGAGGGUGUUGGGGCGGCGUGUUGGCAAGACUAAGGAGAUGGCUGCAUAGACCGCUGCUUCCAAGCAUCUUUCUUUCAAACGCUAGGUCCUUAGCUAAUAAAUUGGAUGAAUGGAAACUACGAAUUGCAACAGAAAAGAUCUUGAUGGGCUGCUGCAUUCUGCUGAUUACGGAGACAUGGUUAAAUCCUUGCAUUCCUGAUUCGGCCAUUGAAUUAGCAAGGCUACACAGCGUAUCGGCAUGACAGGUCAGAGAAUUCUGGAAACAAGCUCCUAUUACGAUCAGGACUGUUACUACAUGGUCUGCGGAUCCCUCUCAACAAUUGCAGGACUGUUCUGAGAGAACUCAUUGGGAGAUCUUUAAACAACAGGAUCUGGAGUCCUAUACCACAACAGUUCUGGAUUACAUUAGGUUCUAUACGGAUAAUGUCACUAGGGAUAGAAUGAUGAGGAUUUAUCCAAAUAGGAAGCCCUGGAUGACAAGGGAGGUGCAGGGACUAUUGAAAGACAGGAAUAUUGCUUUUAGGAGUGGGGACAGGGUGCUUUAUAGUGCGUUGAGAGCCAACCUGAAGAGAGGUAUCUGGGAGGCAAAGGCAGCCUGUAGAACAAGGAUAGAGGAGCAUUUGAGUAGCAAAAACACCAGACAGGUGUGGAGGGGUGUUCAGCACCUCACCAGUUAUAAAUCAAGCAUUACUGGGAUCAUUGAGGGAGAUGCUUCUUAAGCAGAAGAGUUGAACAUCUUUUUGCCCGUUUUGAGGUGCCACAAACAGCUGGUCUAUUGCAGUCACCUAGUUAUAAUGGAGAUGUGUUUAUGGUGGGGAAGGCGGAUGUGAGGCAGGUGUUAAGGAAGGUGAACCCAAGGAAGGCUGCUGGAUCCGAUGGUGUGGCUGGACGGGUGCUGAAGGACUAUGCACAGCAAUUGCCCGUAGUCCUUACUGAGAUUUUUAAUCAGUCCCUCUCCCAGGCUUUUGUUCCACCUUGUCUUAAGUCUUCCAUCAUUGUUCCAUUGCCAAAAAAAUCUGUUACAAAGAGCUUGAAUAAUUUUCGUCCAGUGGCACUUACAUCUGUUAUCAUGAAGUGUUUUGAGAAACUGAUGCGAAAUCAUAUCAUGCGUGUCUGCCAGCAGAUUUGGAUCCAUUCCAAUUUGCUUAUAAGGCAAAGACAUCUACUGAGGAUGCUGUGGCGACCGCUCUUCAUGCUGUCUUGACUCAUCUGGAGCAACGGGGGAGUUAUGCAAGACUGCUUUUUGUGGAUUUCAGCUCAGCGUUCAAUACCAUAUUUCCACAACGUUUAGUGUUCAAAUUGGACUUCCAUUGCUUACUUGUAGCUGGAUCUUGGACUU
Long non-coding RNA from Xenopus tropicalis (tropical clawed frog), 4632 nucleotides. RefSeq lists it as uncharacterized. The transcript has 2 exons. Lineage: Eukaryota; Metazoa; Chordata; Amphibia; Anura; Pipidae. The record is from RefSeq and is a predicted model, not a curated record.